GACGAACGCUGGCGGCGUGCUUAACACAUGCAAGUCGAACGGGCCUUGUCCCCUUUUUUUUUGGGGGUGGGGUUAGUGGCGAACGGGUGAGUAACACGUGAGUAACCUGCCCCUCACUUCUGGAUAACCGCUUGAAAGGGUGGCUAAUACGGGGUGUUCUGGCCUGCUCGCAUGGGUGGGUUUGGAAAGAUUCGACCGGUUUUGGUUGUUUUGGUGGGGGAUGGGCUCGCGGCCUAUCCGCUUGUUGGUGGGGUGAUGGCCUGCCAAGGCUUUGACGGGUAGCCGGCCUGAGAGGGUGGGCGGUCACACUGGGACUGAGACACGGCCCAGACUCCUACGGGAGGCAGCAGUGGGGAAUAUUGCACAAUGGGCGCAAGCCUGAUGCAGCGACGCCGCGUGAGGGAUGGAGGCCUUCGGGUUGUGAACCUCUUUCGCCAGGGAAGAAGGUCCUGCUCUUUGUGGUGGGGUUGACGGUAGCUGGGUUAAUGAAGCGCCGGCUAACUACGUG
RNAcentral lists this ribosomal RNA (508 nucleotides) under uncultured bacterium. RNAcentral describes it as "partial 16S ribosomal RNA". It matches the Rfam family "Bacterial small subunit ribosomal RNA", at positions 28 to 507 of the family's 1533-position model. The record is from RNAcentral.